UACGGGGUUAACCCCCUCACAGUGCGAGACCUGCUGGGCGGAGGAGACUUCCCACGGAACACCCAGUUUGCCAUUGUAAAAGCUACGGUUGAAUACAUCAAGAGUACUGGACGCCUGAAUAAUCUCUGAAAGCUGAUCAAGACUGUCCUGGAACAAUAUAAUUCAAAUUAAGUAACCCAUUGAAAACCAUUUGAUAAAUCCAGGUGCAACAAGUGCCCUGUCGAGGGACAUUUAUGCAACCUCAAAACGGACUACAUACAUACUAUAUUAUGUCGAAAAUACCUAUUUGAAAAUUAGAUGUUGUGACCAUAGUAUGUGAUAAAAAGGAUUGCCAUAGCAGUUUAUGCUUGCAAUGGAAGGAGAUAACAAUUUUAGAACUGAAGUUCAAGAAGCCACUGAGGCAGUUGACAUUCUUCUCAGAACAGCUGCCAGCAACGAGAAGCAACUGAUGAACUUGGCCAGUCAUGUAAAGGGCGUGCAGGCUUUAACCAACAGAAUACAGACAGAAGUCAAAGUCUUACAGAGGGGUCUCCAGAGGCCAAAUUGGUUGAAAUUAGAACAUGUAAUAAGCAGCAACUUGCAUCACCU
Molecule: long non-coding RNA, 588 nt
Organism: Hyalella azteca
Lineage: Eukaryota; Metazoa; Arthropoda; Malacostraca; Amphipoda; Hyalellidae
Exons: 3
Source: RefSeq, a predicted model, not a curated record